UGGGGAAUAUUGCACAAUGGGCGAAAGCCUGAUGCAGCAACGCCGCGUGAGUGAUGAAGGCCUUCGGGUUGUAAAAGCUCUGUCUUUUGGGACGAUAAUGACGGUACCAAAGGAGGAAGCCACGGCUAACUACGUGCCAGCAGCCGCGGUAAUACGUAGGUGGCAAGCGUUGUCCGGAUUUACUGGGCGUAAAGGAUGCGUAGGCGGAUUUUUAAGUGAGAUGUGAAAUACCCGGGCUUAACUUGGGUGCUGCAUUUCAAACUGGGAAUCUAGAGUGCGGGAGAGGAGAAUGGAAUUCCUAGUGUAGCGGUGAAAGUGCGUAGAGAUUAGGAAGAACACCAGUGGCGAAAGGCGAUUCUCUGGACCGUAACUGACGCUGAGGCAUGAAAGCGUGGGUAGCAAACAGGAUUAGAUACCCUGGUAGUCCACGCCGUAAACGAUGAGUACUAGGUGUAGGAGGUAUCGACCCCUUCUGUGCCGCAGUUAACACAAUAAGUACUCCGCCUGGGAAGUACGAUCGCAAGAUU
This 527-nucleotide ribosomal RNA is filed under the name uncultured bacterium. RNAcentral's name for it is "partial 16S ribosomal RNA". It matches the Rfam family "Bacterial small subunit ribosomal RNA", at positions 355 to 895 of the family's 1533-position model. The record is from RNAcentral.